RNAcentral lists this long non-coding RNA (225 nucleotides) under Elaeis guineensis (African oil palm). RNAcentral's name for it is "long non-coding RNA (EGUI_LNC038046)". Lineage: Eukaryota; Viridiplantae; Streptophyta; Magnoliopsida; Arecales; Arecaceae. The record is from RNAcentral.
GGGUGCCUCAGAACUUCGAAGAAGACUUCCUUAGGUAGUUCAAUCGGAGCCAGUGUAGCCAGCUUGGAGAGAAGGUCGGCCCUGGUAUUUUCAGCUCUUAGGAUCUGCUUGAUGUCGAAGCUGCCGAAGGUAGGGAUGAUCUCCUUUACCUUUUUGAGAUACUUGGCCAUACUGUCCUCCCGAGCUUCAUAAUUUUUGUUGACCUGUUCCACCACUAAUUGAGAG